AAAACAUGUCAUAGAUGGUGGAUACACAUUGAUAUCUGUUGGUGGCAAAUUGAUAUACUUUUAUUCUGAAGCUUAACUUUGUCAAGAUUCAUAAAUAGAAGAGUUCUGUAGUGAAAGUUUAUCAUUUAAAUACUUUUUUAUAUUAAAAACAGGGAAGUGUUCGCCAGUUACUACAUGAAAAGAUAAGAGAUGCUUAUACUCACCCACAAUUUGUGACCGAUGUAAUGAAGCCUCUGCAAAUUGAAAACAUCAUUGAUCAAGAGGUGCAGACAUUAUCUGGUGGUGAACUACAGCGAGUAGCUUUAGCCCUUUGUUUGGGCAAACCUGCUGAUGUCUAUUUAAUUGAUGAACCAUCUGCAUAUUUGGAUUCUGAGCAAAGACUGAUGGCAGCUCGAGUUGUCAAACGUUUCAUACUCCAUGCAAAAAAGACAGCCUUUGUUGUGGAACAUGACUUCAUCAUGGCCACCUAUCUAGCGGAUCGCGUCAUCGUUUUUGAUGGUGUUCCAUCUAAGAACACAGUUGCAAACAGUCCUCAAACCCUUUUGGCUGGCAUGAAUAAAUUUUUGUCUCAGCUUGAAAUUACAUUCAGAAGAGAUCCAAACAACUAUAGGCCACGAAUAAACAAACUUAAUUCAAUUAAGGAUGUAGAACAAAAGAAGAGUGGAAACUACUUUUUCUUGGAUGAUUAGACUGACUCUGAGAAUAUCGAUAAGCCAUUUAUUAAAAGGAGUAUUUACUAGAAUUUUUUGUCAUAUAAAA
This 759-nucleotide small RNA is filed under the name Pan troglodytes (chimpanzee). RNAcentral describes it as "retained intron". Lineage: Eukaryota; Metazoa; Chordata; Mammalia; Primates; Hominidae. The record is from RNAcentral.